RNAcentral lists this ribosomal RNA (875 nucleotides) under uncultured bacterium. Its description in RNAcentral is "bacterial SSU rRNA". It matches the Rfam family "Bacterial small subunit ribosomal RNA", at positions 8 to 890 of the family's 1533-position model. The record is from RNAcentral.
AGAGUUUGAUCCUGGCUCAGGACGAACGCUGGCGGCGUGCCUAACACAUGCAAGUCGAGCGGGAUCCAUCCAGUAGCAAUACUGGGGAAGAUCUAGCGGCGAACGGGUGAGUAACACGUGAGAAACCUGCCCCGAAGUCUGGGAUAACAGGUGGAAACACUUGCUAAUACCGGAUGCCGUCGGUGAGUCGCAUGGCUCACUGACGAAAGGGUCACCGGAUCGGGAGGGUCUCGCGGCCUAUCAGCUUUUUGGUGGGGUAACGGCCUACCAAGGCAUCGACGGGUAGCUGGUCUGAGAGGAUGAUCAGCCACACUGGGACUGAGACACGGCCCAGACUCCUACGGGAGGCAGCAGUGGGGAAUCUUGCGCAAUGGGCGAAAGCCUGACGCAGCAACGCCGCGUGCGGGAAGAAGGCUCUCGGGUUGUAAACCGCUUUCAGUAGGAACGAAACUGACGGUACCUGCAGAAGAAGGUGCGGCCAACUACGUGCCAGCAGCCGCGGUGACACGUAGGCACCAAGCGUUGUCCGGAUUUAUUGGGCGUAAAGAGCUCGUAGGCGGUUCAGUAAGUCGGGUGUGAAAACUCUGGGCUUAACCCAGAGCCGCCACUCGAUACUGCUGUGACUUGAGUUCGGUAGGGGAGUGGGGAAUUCCUGGUGUAGCGGUGAAAUGCGCAGAUAUCAGGAGGAACACCGGUGGCGAAGGCGCCACUCUGGGCCGAAACUGACGCUGAGGAGCGAAAGCGUGGGUAGCAAACAGGAUUAGAUACCCUGGUAGUCCACGCCGUAAACGUUGGGCACUAGGUGUGGGUUUCAACCAACGAGAUCCGCGCCGUCGCUAACGCAUUAAGUGCCCCGCCUGGGGAGUACGGCCGCA